GACCAGCACCUCAAACCUCCCUCCCCUGGGAUUGCCAGCAAGGCUGGUGCCACAAGUGCCACUGGCUCACCUCUCUUGUGUCUCUGGCUUGGCAACUGCUUAAAAUUAGGAAUAAACUGAUGAAUAAGG
Long non-coding RNA from Podarcis raffonei (Aeolian wall lizard), 129 nucleotides. RefSeq lists it as uncharacterized. Lineage: Eukaryota; Metazoa; Chordata; Lepidosauria; Squamata; Lacertidae. The record is from RefSeq and is a predicted model, not a curated record. The transcript is spliced from 2 exons.